AACGAACGCUGGCGGCAUGCCUAACACAUGCAAGUCGAACGAGACCUUCGGGUCUAGUGGCGCACGGGUGCGUACCGCGUGGGAACCUGCCCUUAGGUUCGGAAUAACUCCCCGAAAGGGGUGCUCAUACCGGAUAAUGUCUUCGGACCAAAGAUUUAUCGCUUUUGGAUGGGCCCGCGUUGGAUUCGCUAGUUGGUAGGGUAAAAGCCUACCAAGGCGACGAUCCAUAGCUGGUCUGAGAGGAUGAUCAGCCACACUGGGACUGAGACACGGCCCAGACUGCGACGGGAGGGAGCAGUGGGGAAUAUUGGACGAUGGGCGAAAGCCUGAUCCAGCAAUGCCGCGGGAGUGAGGAAGGCCGUAGUGUUGUAAAGCUCUUUUAGCCGGGAUGAUAAUGACAGUACCGGGAGAAUAAGCUCCGGCUAACUCCGUG
RNAcentral lists this ribosomal RNA (433 nucleotides) under uncultured bacterium. RNAcentral describes it as "partial 16S ribosomal RNA". It matches the Rfam family "Bacterial small subunit ribosomal RNA", at positions 29 to 507 of the family's 1533-position model. The record is from RNAcentral.